Long non-coding RNA from Octopus sinensis (East Asian common octopus), 593 nucleotides. RefSeq lists it as uncharacterized. NCBI's taxonomy places the organism in Eukaryota, Metazoa, Mollusca, Cephalopoda, Octopoda, Octopodidae. The transcript is spliced from 3 exons. The record is from RefSeq and is a predicted model, not a curated record.
CAAAGAGGACAAUUCCACAAAGCAAAUAUAGAUGUGCAGUCAGAUUCUUUUGUUAUUCUAUGAGUAGUUUCCGACUGCUGAACAAUUUUUCAAGAAGUCUUUUUUUUUUUUAAUUCAUUACUUCUCGCUUUGUGAAUUACUUUCAAUCAAUGUAGAGGAAAUUUGUUUUUGGUUCUUCUUUGAAGUUGAAGAUAGUUUGAUAUUUCCUAAAUAGAUGCAAAACUACAGUUUAUGAAAAUAUAAUCUGGUGAAAAUUUGAAAAAAUUUCAAGUGCUUGGAGGAAUUUCGGCAAGACCUCAAGUAUCUUCUGCCAUAACUUCUAAUAGAUUGAUGUCUCGUGCCAUUAUAUCAAACAUUUGAGAAGAGUAGCCAUGCGACUCACAAAAAAUUCAGCAGAUCUGUCAGAUUUUCAAAGAGGUUGUAUUGUUGGGCAAGCUGAGGCUGGUCUUAGCCAGAGAAAAAUUGCCGAAAAUCUUCAAAUUCCUCUUGCUACAGUUAAUAGAAUUAUAGUGCAAUUCAAAAGCCAAGGAAAAGAAUCAACAGAUUCUCAUACCAGCUGGCCUGGGCCCAUGGAAAGGAAGCUUCACUGUUUU